GGAGACUUGCCCGAGAGGCCGAAGGGGCUCCCCUGCUAAGGGAGUAUGGGGUCAAAAACUCCAUCGAGGGUUCGAAUCCCUCAGUCUCCGCCA
This 93-nucleotide transfer RNA is filed under the name Luteimonas sp. RNAcentral's name for it is "tRNA-Ser". It matches the Rfam family "tRNA". From Rfam's summary of the family: Transfer RNA (tRNA) molecules are approximately 80 nucleotides in length. Their secondary structure includes four short double-helical elements and three loops (D, anti-codon, and T loops). The record is from RNAcentral. Lineage: Bacteria; Pseudomonadati; Pseudomonadota; Gammaproteobacteria; Lysobacterales; Lysobacteraceae. RNAcentral also lists the same sequence under 2 other names.